This 308-nucleotide long non-coding RNA is filed under the name Eucalyptus grandis. Its description in RNAcentral is "long non-coding RNA (EGRA_LNC002847)". Lineage: Eukaryota; Viridiplantae; Streptophyta; Magnoliopsida; Myrtales; Myrtaceae. The record is from RNAcentral.
UGUUCUUGCACUGCACUGGGCUCGCUCUUGGGCUUGGGCUUGCUGCGAUUGGGCCUCUUCGCGGGCUGGACUUGGGCUGAAGAUGGACUUGAAACAAAACUGAACUGGGCCUUAAAUUACUGGGCUGAUCUCUUGAGGGCCUGACUUUGCUUGGGCUUCAAAUGGCGUGGGUUCAAUGAAGCUGCUGCUCACUUGGGCUGCGAUGAGGACUACAAUUAGGCUGAAGACACGGGCUUGAAUCAAGCUGGGCCACGACAAAUUCGUGUGGGGUGCUGAACGCUUGACUUCGGAUGAGAUGGACUCGGACG